CACGCCCUAAACGUUGUCCGCUAGCUAUAGGGAGUAUCGACCCUCUCUGUGGCGUAGCUAACGCAUUAAGCGGACCGCCUGGGUAGUACGAGCGCAAGCUUAAAACUCAAAGGAAUAGACGGGGGCUCGCACAAGCGGUGGAUCAUGGGGCUUAAUUCGUCACUAAGCGAGGAACCUUACCAAGGCUAGAAAUCUUACUGCACGCCCGGUGAAAGCCGGGAAGCCUUCGAGGGUGUAAGACAGGUGA
Molecule: ribosomal RNA, 247 nt
Filed under: uncultured bacterium
Lineage: Bacteria
Description: partial 16S ribosomal RNA
Rfam family: Bacterial small subunit ribosomal RNA
Source: RNAcentral